UGGAGUGUUAAAUUUACCUUUUCAUCAAUGAAUUUAGCCCAGAAACGAGCUACGGCUCUGUGAUAAGGUUCUUUAGGCAGGAUAGGAUUGUGCGUCCAGGUCUCGUCAAUAUAUUCCAGAAUGACAAGUGAUUCUGAGAUACCUUUGCCAUUGUGAACGAGGACAGGAACUUUUUUAUGAACAGGGUUAUACUUAAGGAGCAAAGGGCUCUUGUUGGGGAGGUCUUCGUCUAUGUACUCAUACUUGAUCCCUUUUAGUUUCAGGGCUAGUUCUAUUCUGCGAGA
This 284-nucleotide long non-coding RNA is filed under the name Manihot esculenta (cassava). RNAcentral's name for it is "long non-coding RNA (MESC_LNC000886)". The record is from RNAcentral. Lineage: Eukaryota; Viridiplantae; Streptophyta; Magnoliopsida; Malpighiales; Euphorbiaceae.